Molecule: ribosomal RNA, 253 nt
Filed under: uncultured bacterium
Lineage: Bacteria
Description: partial 16S ribosomal RNA
Rfam family: Bacterial small subunit ribosomal RNA
Source: RNAcentral
UACAGAGGGGGCAAGCGUUGUUCGGAAUUACUGGGCGUAAAGGGCGCGUAGGCGGCCUCUUAAGUCGAACGUGAAAUCCCCGGGCUCAACCCGGGAACUGCGUCCGAUACUGGGGGGCUUGAAUCCGGGAGAGGGAUGUGGAAUUCCAGGUGUAGCGGUGAAAUGCGUAGAUAUCUGGAGGAACACCGGUGGCGAAGGCGGCUUCCUGGACCGACACUGACGCUGAGGCGCGAAAGCUAGGGGAGCAAACGGG